RNAcentral lists this ribosomal RNA (253 nucleotides) under uncultured bacterium. RNAcentral describes it as "partial 16S ribosomal RNA". It matches the Rfam family "Bacterial small subunit ribosomal RNA", at positions 524 to 776 of the family's 1533-position model. The record is from RNAcentral.
UACGUAGGGUGCGAGCGUUAAUCGGAAUUACUGGGCGUAAAGCGUGCGCAGGCGGUUUUGUAAGGCAGAUGUGAAAUCCCCGGGCUUAACCUGGGAACUGCGUUUGAAACUACAAGGCUAGAGUGUAGCAGAGGGGGGUGGAAUUCCACGUGUAGCAGUGAAAUGCGUAGAGAUGUGGAGGAACACCGAUGGCGAAGACAGCCCCCUGGGUUAACACUGACGCUCAGGCACGAAAGCGUGGGGAGCAAACAGG